Long non-coding RNA from Osmerus eperlanus (European smelt), 1383 nucleotides. RefSeq lists it as uncharacterized. The transcript has 3 exons. Lineage: Eukaryota; Metazoa; Chordata; Actinopteri; Osmeriformes; Osmeridae. The record is from RefSeq and is a predicted model, not a curated record.
GUUCAUCCCCUUCCUCCCUCUUCGUUCCUCUCUUCCUCUCUCUUGUAGCCUCAAUCCGGAACUUCAGGAUACAAACACAGUGAUUAGUGAAAUCCUUCCCACCUCAUUCUGGUGACGCCUUUACUUUGCCUAACCCCCCCCCCCCAAAGCAACUUUUACUGUAACAAUGACUUUGGUAAAUAACAACUUGCCCAAUAAUUUUCUUUGUGUAUCAAAAUGGACUGAUGAUGAUAAUGUGAUGUCACAACACUGAAAAGAAAAAGGCAUGGUAUGUCAUGACAUUUCCACCCUGUUUUUCCCUUACAUACAAAACUCUCUUCUGAUGUCAUACAGGUGGAUACCUCCUCAAUAAAAGCUCAUGCUGAAGAGACCAAGACAGACUUGAAGAACACUGCUGGAGAGAAGAAGUUGACGAGAGAGCAUCUCUGAAUUUGUGAGUGAAUAUUUAAACUCCUGUUAAUAUUGAAUCGAAGGAAACAUUUGAAAAAUGAUUGGACAUAAAAUGCUUCUGCUACUUCUGAUUAUUAGUUUGGGGAGCUGUCAAAAUACAACUCCUACAACAACCACAGCUAGUGCCGCAACAACCACUGCUGUCCCAGAAACAACCACAGCUGUCCCAGAAACAACCACAGCAGCUCCAACAUCAACAGAUGCUCCUACAACAACCACAGCAGCUCCAACAUCAACAGAUGCUCCUACAACAACCACAGCAGCUCCAACAUCAACAGAUGCUCCUACAACAACCACAGCAGCUCCAACAUCAACAGAUGCUCCUACAACAACCACAGCAGCUCCAACAUCAACAGAUGCUCCUACAACAACCACAGCUGGUCCUACAACAACCACAGCCAGUGACACAACCACAGAUGUCCCAUCAACAACCACGGCAGCUCCUACAACAACCACAGCUGCUCUGGCAACAACCACAUUAGCUCUAACAUCAGCAGAUGCACCUACAACAACUACAGCUUCUCCUACAACAACCACAGCUGCUCCUACAACAACCACAGCUGGGCCUACAACAACUGUGGUUGUCAAGACAACCCCAGUUUCAGCCUCAACUGGCAUCAGCUACAAGUUUAGUAUUCUCACAAUCUGUGUAGCUUUAAUCAUUCAAACACUUUUCUAGAAUGAGUUUCUCCAAAAGUGGCUUGUGUUUUAUAGUACUUUUAUUACAUUUAUGAUAUAGCAUAAACCUUGCUCAGCGCAUUCAAGACUGGCUUUACUGUUGAUGUUUCACAUGUUUCAGGUUUUUCUAGUCCCUUUGCCCUAAUGCACUUUUAUUUCACUGUAACUAGUAGUGUUUUGUAUUCAUUUGUUCUUUAGUCCCAUUAAAUGAAUGUUAAUUUACUGUUCACUUAAUAAAGUGUUACUUUGCAUUUA